GGAUAGAUGCAGGAGUGGUUGAACUGGCACGCCUGGAAAGCGUGUAUACCCCUAAAGGGUAUCGGGGGUUCGAAUCCCCCUCUCUCCG
Molecule: transfer RNA, 88 nt
Filed under: Alistipes sp.
Lineage: Bacteria; Pseudomonadati; Bacteroidota; Bacteroidia; Bacteroidales; Rikenellaceae
Also listed under: 1 other name
Description: tRNA-Ser
Rfam family: tRNA
About the family: Transfer RNA (tRNA) molecules are approximately 80 nucleotides in length.
Source: RNAcentral